Molecule: long non-coding RNA, 1029 nt
Organism: Neofelis nebulosa (Clouded leopard)
Lineage: Eukaryota; Metazoa; Chordata; Mammalia; Carnivora; Felidae
Exons: 2
Source: RefSeq, a predicted model, not a curated record
AAGAGGGCUUGAGGGCGCCUGGUGGCUCAGUUGGUUAAGCGUCUGACUCUUGGUUUCAGCUCAGGUCAUGAUCUCAUGGUUUGUGAGUCUGAGCUCCAUGUCAGGUUCUGGACUGCCAGUGCGGAGCCUGCUUGGGAUUCUCUCUCUCUCCCUUUCUCUGCCCCUACUCUGAACUCUCUCCCCCCCCCCCCCAAAAUAAAUAAACCUAAAAAAAAAAAAAAAAAAGAAAGGGGGCUUGAAAGACAGAAAAUUAUGUGCACGUUCCUACAUGUCUCACUAGUAUGCCAAGAAUGCAAGGCUAUGAUUGCUUUUUACCCAGGCCAUUUCUCAGAGUGUGUUUGCAGCAAGCAACAUUGAGAGGUGAAAUAGUUUCCCUCUUGGACAAAGAGCAGGCUUGAUUACUAUUUGUUAUACGAUGGUGGUACCCCAAGCUCUGUGUUCUCUCAAGUAACAUAAUCCACUCAGUGUGAUGGAAUUUGGAGGUGAUUAGGUCAUAAGGGCAGAGAACUCAUUAAUGGGAUUAGUGCCCUUAUAUAAGAGACUCCAGAGAGCUCCCUUGUGCCCUCUACCAUGUGAGAAGACCCCUAUCUAUGAAACAGGAAAGGGGCACCCACCCGACACGGAAUUUGAUGAUAUCUUAAUCUUGGACUUCCCAACCUCCAGAACUGUGAGAAAUAAGUUUCUAUUGCUCAUAAGCCACCCAGUCUACAGUACUUUGUCUCCAGUGACUAAGCUGUUAAUCAUGGUAUUAUGAAGACUCCCACACACAGAACACACCUUGAAGCAACACUUGCACAUACCUACCUACCAGAAUUCAAAUACAGGAACGGUCACUCCAGCAUUGCUCACAAGCGCCGGAAAUCGGGAGCAAACCAAAUGUCCAUCAGCAGUUAAAUGGAUAACCAGAUUGUGGUAUAUUCAGGUAGUCGAAUACUAUCCAGCAAUCAAGACAAAUAAGUUGUUCCAGGCAUACUAUGGAUGAAUCUAUCAAAUAAAAGCAAAAAAGAUGAUAAAACAAUUCGUAGAGAA